Molecule: ribosomal RNA, 799 nt
Filed under: Penicillium expansum
Lineage: Eukaryota; Fungi; Ascomycota; Eurotiomycetes; Eurotiales; Aspergillaceae
Description: eukaryotic LSU rRNA
Rfam family: Eukaryotic large subunit ribosomal RNA
Source: RNAcentral
AAGCGGCAAGAGCUCAAAUUUGAAAGCUGGCUCCUUCGGGGUCCGCAUUGUAAUUUGCAGAGGAUGCUUCGGGAGCGGUCCCCAUCUAAGUGCCCUGGAACGGGACGUCAUAGAGGGUGAGAAUCCCGUAUGGGAUGGGGUGUCCGCGCCCGUGUGAAGCUCCUUCGACGAGUCGAGUUGUUUGGGAAUGCAGCUCUAAAUGGGUGGUAAAUUUCAUCUAAAGCUAAAUAUUGGCCGGAGACCGAUAGCGCACAAGUAGAGUGAUCGAAAGAUGAAAAGCACUUUGAAAAGAGAGUUAAAAAGCACGUGAAAUUGUUGAAAGGGAAGCGCUUGCGACCAGACUCGCUCGCGGGGUUCAGCCGGCAUUCGUGCCGGUGUACUUCCCCGCGGGCGGGCCAGCGUCGGUUUGGGCGGUCGGUCAAAGGCCCUCGGAAGGUAACGCCCCUAGGGGCGUCUUAUAGCCGAGGGUGCAAUGCGACCUGCCUAGACCGAGGAACGCGCUUCGGCUCGGACGCUGGCAUAAUGGUCGUAAGCGACCCGUCUUGAAACACGGACCAAGGAGUCUAACAUCUACGCGAGUGUUCGGGUGUCAAACCCGUGCGCGAAGUGAAAGCGAACGGAGGUGGGAACCCUUACGGGUGCACCAUCGACCGAUCCUGAAGUCUUCGGAUGGAUUUGAGUAAGAGCGUAGCUGUUGGGACCCGAAAGAUGGUGAACUAUGCCUGAAUAGGGCGAAGCCAGAGGAAACUCUGGUGGAGGCUCGUAGCGGUUCUGACGUGCAAAUCGAUCGUCGAAUUUG